GCGCCGACAAGUGGGCCAGUCCCCACAAUUCUCUCUCCCGACAAGAAUUCCUCCACCCUCUCCCUCUCUCGUCGGCUAGGGUUCCAUCCUCCGCCGCCGCUCCCUUGCCUCUCCGCGCCGCGCCAUCGUUGACCUCAAAAUCGGGAUCCCCGCGCCACGCCAUGGAAGCCCCAUCACCUGAAGACCGAGCUCCGCAUCUUCGUGCCCGACUCCGCAUCUUCUCCGCCGCCGCUCUGCGCCCUCUCUCCCAUGCUCGUCGCGAGCCGCCGCUGCUUUUCCCUCCCUCUAUCCCUGCCCGCCACCUCUCCCCUCUCACUCCAUGCCCCUGCAGAUCAUUGUCUUGUCUCGUCGCCCUUCUUCAUCGUCGACAGCGUCGCCACAAAGGAGGAGGGGGUCAGGAUGAGGAAAAGAGGGGUAGCCGCCGAGAGGGACACGUUGUUCAGUUCGUCCCACAACUGCAGGCGAAGCAGGGGCAGUGCUCUCCGCCCGCCGUUGUGACGGACCUCGGGUGAGCCUCGAGUUCGACUUCCGGCGACACCCGCCCCAAAGUAUCUUCCCCGGUAAGAUCUGUAGGUACCUACCGCCAUACAUUCUUAUCCGCAACGCCGUAUCCCUCUGCCAUUUGGGGGGGGGGGGGGAUUGAUUGCCUCCGAGGGCAACAGAAGGAGGUCUUCACAUAUCACCAGCCUCUUCUUCAUUGAUCGAUGCUAGGGGUGGGUGUAGCAGAAUAUUUGUUGCAACCAAAAUCCAGAAGGAGGAUGGACAAGCUCGUUACACAAGUGCCAACAGUAGAUGUGCCUGCACUAUAGAAAAUAGGGCAACUGCUCUAAUCUUCCUAGGUAUGUGCAUCUCUACUUUCUUAUCCAAAUCUGACUGCUUAAGAAUUCCUCAAUAAUACAGAGUUCUGCCCGAUGCUCACUUUUUUCUCUACACUUUACAAAAAUUUAUGUAGCAUAUACCAAGGUAAAGGUUUUGUUUUCACUAUAGAAAUGCUAUUGUUCGCUGCUUCAGAUACAACAAAUUCUAGAAUAAUUAUUCGUACAUAUAUCACAGUCUGGAAUGAUUUUGUUUAGUGGUAUAAUGUGGCGUUCUAAUUUAUCAUGUGUCAUUGAACUUAGUUGCACCAUUUCCAUUUCGGUGCGGCUUAUACAACAUGUGUACUAAGAGAUGGCACCUUUUUGUCCUCAUUUUGUCUUUGCGUUUGCUAAACCAGCUAUGAUUUGGUUUCUUACGUCAGAUGAACAUGUUCGCUUUUCAUUUACAAGUCAUUCGAACUAUCAAGGUCUAAUCUGAACUGGUUUAAUAGUAUUGCUGCUGGAGUGGUUUUGUUUCUUUGGAUUUCAGCAUCUACUGACAUUGCUUGAUUAGGGUCAGUGUUACAAGUGCAUUUGGUGGCUGGGGAAAGGAGCAGAAAUCUUGUUAGCGUGAAAAAUGGCCACCUCAGAUUCAGAGAUGUCUGUCAAGGGUAUACAGAAAUUAGCUCUCUCUCUCGUCAUCGGCUCGUUGGAGGAGAAUGGGAUGGGGAACCACGCUGGGAUGCAGAGAAGCGGGAGCUGGCGGAGGCGCUUGUUGAACAGGAGGGUGGCCACGAACACCCAUGGUAGCCUGCUUUGCGCAGUCGGAAGGAGUUGCCAACGAGGACCAACGUGCCUCUCAAGUGUGAAAGAGCGCCAACACCAUCUGCCUACUCUAUGCUACUGAUGCCCUUCCGAGCAACUGGAGCAUUAAACAUGUAUUUCCAUGGUUUUCCUGAUCGCUUAUAAUUGGUGACAACGCAGUAUGGCUCCAGUUCAAAGUGUAUCAUCCUGGAUAUGUUUAGAUUAUUGUCAGAUGUAGUAGAAAAUUUAAAUGAUGGAUAAAUAAGAGGUUCAGUUUCUUCUU
Long non-coding RNA from Lolium perenne, 1881 nucleotides. RefSeq lists it as uncharacterized. The record is from RefSeq and is a predicted model, not a curated record. Lineage: Eukaryota; Viridiplantae; Streptophyta; Magnoliopsida; Poales; Poaceae.